GUGGGAGUAAGUGCCAGACAAGGAAGAAAAACCCAUCUGAGCGUGAAUCAAAUUCAAGUCGAGAAAUGCUGAAUUUCCCCCUAACAAGCAAGCGAAGAGCUGCAGAAAAUGAGCCUCCCAAAGCAAGAGGCUGGUGAAACACUACGAAAAAUGCAGCUUUGGUGUCAUGCCUAGACCCCCCUGCACGGGUAUUAAUAGGCACACAACACGUGGAUACAACAUGCUAUGAAGUCUCUGUGCCAUCCUCUUUGAUGUUCUAGAGAGUGACAUUCGUCCUCAGGAAGAUCUCAGCCUUCAGCCUCCUGCUUCCUCAGUACGUGUGGACCAAUUGCCCAGAAUGAGGACCAGCGGCUGCAGCAGGGAAAUUCAUCUCAGCACCAGAUCCCUCGUCCCUCCUGCUGGUCUCAGGGCAGCAGCUGAUGGGACAUGGCUGUGCCCCACGUCACUCUACAAUGCUCCUCACACUGUGCUGCUAUUGAUGCUGACCAGAGCAUGCACAGACUGUGAUGCUCAGCACCAGGAGAACGCUUCCAUCUACAUCACAGGAUGCUGGGGCAAAUCUUAUGGUGUCUUGCAUCUAAAUUUGAAAAAUCUCCAGCAGUUUUAUGACAAAAUUGCUUCUUUGAAUGGUUUCACUAACGCUGCAGAAAAGCAACAAAAUGUUUGGGACAUCCAAAAGAUCAGGCAAGUAUUUCACCGAGUGUACCACAAAAUAUUAUGA
This 721-nucleotide long non-coding RNA is filed under the name Numida meleagris (helmeted guineafowl). Its description in RNAcentral is "lncRNA (ENSNMEG00000020382.1)". The record is from RNAcentral. Lineage: Eukaryota; Metazoa; Chordata; Aves; Galliformes; Numididae.